GGCCCUUACGGCYUGGGUUACACACGUGCUACAAUGGUYGGUACAGAGGGUUGCCAAGCCGCGAGGUGGAGCUAAUCCCAGAAAACCGAUCGUAGUCCGGAUCGCAGUCUGCAACUCGACUGCGUGAAGUCGGAAUCGCUAGUAAUCGCGAAUCAGAAUGUCGCGGUGAAUACGUUCCCGGGCCUUGUACACACCGCCCGUCACACCAUGGGAGUGGGUUGCACCAGAAGUAGCUAGUCUAACYUCGGGAGGAC
Molecule: ribosomal RNA, 254 nt
Filed under: Pseudomonas sp.
Lineage: Bacteria; Pseudomonadati; Pseudomonadota; Gammaproteobacteria; Pseudomonadales; Pseudomonadaceae
Description: partial 16S ribosomal RNA
Source: RNAcentral